This 83-nucleotide ribosomal RNA is filed under the name uncultured bacterium. Its description in RNAcentral is "partial 16S ribosomal RNA". The record is from RNAcentral.
UCAUGAAAGCCGCUUGUACCCGAAGUCGCUGUGCCAGCUCGCAAGAGAGGCAGGUGCCGAAGGUAUGGGUGGUGAUUGGGAUG